UCAGUCUUAUUUUCACGAACCAAAGCGUUUGAAGUACCAUCGUAUUUGGGGGGAAAACGUAGUCCUGUCUUAGACGCGAUUGUUCGCUUUGGACAAUUUUAUGGAGAAUCGGAAAUAGAUGAAGGCAACAAUACCGAAGAAGAAGCUAGGUUAGGGCAACGAUUAGCGGCGAACGAGGUCCCGAAGCCACUCGGAGCCGCCAUUCAAGCGAUGAAUAGCAGCGGAGAGCGAGCUUCGAAACCCCAAAUCGAUGAAUGUAUCGGAGCAGGUGGAGGAGAAGAAGAAUUGAGGAAACGCGUUGAGGAGAGAGAGAGAGAGUAAUUUUGGUUUCAACGAAUUUUUCAAAACAUAGGUUUGGUGAGUUAGGUACUUGGUGCGAAAUAUUUGACCCAAGCAAUAGAGAAUUCUCUCUCCAUAGAUCGUUAGAAGGACGUGCACGCG
Molecule: long non-coding RNA, 441 nt
Filed under: Actinidia chinensis (golden kiwifruit)
Lineage: Eukaryota; Viridiplantae; Streptophyta; Magnoliopsida; Ericales; Actinidiaceae
Description: long non-coding RNA (ACHI_LNC008970)
Source: RNAcentral